This 275-nucleotide ribosomal RNA is filed under the name uncultured bacterium. RNAcentral describes it as "partial 16S ribosomal RNA". It matches the Rfam family "Bacterial small subunit ribosomal RNA", at positions 523 to 796 of the family's 1533-position model. The record is from RNAcentral.
AGACGGAGGGCGCAAGCGUUGUUCGGAAUUACUGGGCGUAAAGGGCAGGUAGGUGGUCUGUUAAGUCUUCUGUGAAAAUCCGGGGCUCAACCCCGCGAAAUGCAGGUGAAACUGGCAGACUGGAGACCGGUAGAGGCUAGCGGAAUUCCUGGUGUAGCGGUGGAAUGCGUAGAUAUCAGGAAGAACACCUGUGGCGAAGGCGGCUAGCUGGGCCGGUUCUGACACUAAACUGCGAAAGCGUGGGGAGCAAACAGGAUUAGAUACCCCAGUAGUCC